GACGAACCGUGCGAACGUUGUUCGGAAUCAUUGGGCGUAAAGCGCGUGUAGGCGGUUCCGUAAGUCCGCUCUGAAAGCCCAGGGCUCAACCCUCGGAUGCCGGUGGAUACUGUCGGGCUUGAGUACGGAAGAGGCGAGUGGAAUUCCUGGUGUAGCGGUGAAAUGCGCAGAUAUCAGGAGGAACACCAAUUGCGAAGGCAGCUCGCUGGGACGUUACUGACGCUGAGACGCGAAAGCGUGGGGAGCAAACAGG
Molecule: ribosomal RNA, 253 nt
Filed under: uncultured bacterium
Lineage: Bacteria
Description: partial 16S ribosomal RNA
Rfam family: Bacterial small subunit ribosomal RNA
Source: RNAcentral